Long non-coding RNA from Nyctereutes procyonoides (raccoon dog), 1013 nucleotides. RefSeq lists it as uncharacterized. The transcript has 4 exons. The record is from RefSeq and is a predicted model, not a curated record. Lineage: Eukaryota; Metazoa; Chordata; Mammalia; Carnivora; Canidae.
AUUGGCAGAAGCCAUGGGAAGAAGAAAAGAAAGCAUGUCAGCUGAGCUGGACGCGCUCUAAAAAGAGAUUUUCUGGCACCACUCCUAAUAAUUUCCUCUUAGAUCGGAUUGGCCAACCGUGUCACUUGGCCACUCUAACCUGCAUAGUGGCUGCACUGUGUUGAGAGAGCAACCAGCAGUCUCCAUCACCGCGGGACUACUGCCAAGAUUAAGAAGAAGCCACCCUGAGUAGUUAAUACUCCAGGAAGAGGAAUCACGUGGAAAGGAGACAUCGGGGAGGCUCCAAGUGUCCCAAACAGGGAUUGAAGAGCUGCAGUUCAAAGAUCAGGCUAAGCAAACUCCCGCGGCAGCAAGCCACCCACCCGGAGUUCCAGCUACAGAGGAUUGCCAUGUUCUUCCCCAGGAAGGGCCUGGAAGCUGCCGCGACACCCUAUUCCUCUUACCCAUCUGUAACCCUCACUCGAGAAAAGGGCAAAGUUUAAGGAAAAAUCCCUGGCACGACAGAGAUGUUGUGUGUGUGUGAAAUGAAAAUGUAUAUACUCAAACCGUGGGUCAGCUGUGGUUUAAAGUACGUCCUGACUUCCCGCCGUUCUUUUCUCAGGUACGGAAAUAUUUCAAGGCAAUUUCAAUGAACUGGAUUUCGAGAAACUACUAAAACGUUUUUUUGUAGAUGUAUUCCUCCUCAUGCACAUCCUCGGGACAGCAGUCGUCUUAAAACGGAGUUAAAAGUCCACACUUCAGCCUUGAAAUAUGCUCGAGUCGUGCGGCGACCUUGGAGACGUAGCUCCAACCGUGCAAAGUCUCAGCAAGUGGACCUAGCCUAGCUUAGAAAAUACAAAACCCCUGAAUUCUUUUUUAUUCUACUAAAUACUCUCUCACCUGUUACGGUCUCCUUGAGCAAGUGCUGACGCUGGUAAAAGGGCAACGGGCAUUUGCCUAAUGGUCCGAAGUGUGAUAGCCAAAAAUAAACAUAAGGGGGAAAAAAAUCAUGACUUUCCGAUGCAUGACUUUGA